GAUGAUCGCUGGCGGCGUGCUUAACACAUGCAAGUCGAACGGUGAAGCAGGAGCUUGCUCUUGUGGAUCAGUGGCGAACGGGUGAGUAACACGCGAGCAACCUGCCCCUGACUCUGGGAUAAGCGCUGGAACCGGCGUCUAAUACUGGAUAUGUGAUGUGACCGCAUGGUCUGCAUCUGGAAAGAAUUUCGGUUGGGGAUGGGCUCGCGGCCUAUCAGCUUGUUGGUGAGGUAAUGGCUCACCAAGGCGUCGACGGGUAGCCGGCCUGAGAGGGUGACCGGCCACACUGGGACUGAGACACGGCCCAGACUCCUACGGGAGGCAGCAGUGGGGAAUACUGCACAAUGGGCGGAAGCCUGAUGCAGCAACGCCGCGUGAGGGAUGACGGCCUUCGGGUCGUAAACCUCUUUUAGCAGGGAAGAAGCGAAAGUGACGGUACCUGCAGAAAAAGCACCGGCUAACUACGUGCCAGCCGCCGCGGUAA
This 484-nucleotide ribosomal RNA is filed under the name uncultured bacterium. Its description in RNAcentral is "partial 16S ribosomal RNA". It matches the Rfam family "Bacterial small subunit ribosomal RNA", at positions 28 to 523 of the family's 1533-position model. The record is from RNAcentral.